This 97-nucleotide signal recognition particle RNA is filed under the name Bartonella sp. HY761. RNAcentral's name for it is "signal recognition particle sRNA small type". It matches the Rfam family "Bacterial small signal recognition particle RNA". From Rfam's summary of the family: The signal recognition particle (SRP) is a universally conserved ribonucleoprotein involved in the co-translational targeting of proteins to membranes. Archaeal SRP consists of a 7S RNA and homologues of the eukaryotic SRP19 and SRP54 proteins. The record is from RNAcentral. Lineage: Bacteria; Pseudomonadati; Pseudomonadota; Alphaproteobacteria; Hyphomicrobiales; Bartonellaceae. RNAcentral also lists the same sequence under 1 other name.
GGAAGCUGGUGGUGGACGAACCACUCGCCAAUCGGGUCAGGUCCGGAAGGAAGCAGCCCUAACGAAUCUGGGUCGGGUCACCGUGCCAGUUUCCCAC